This 74-nucleotide transfer RNA is filed under the name Isosphaera pallida ATCC 43644. RNAcentral describes it as "tRNA-Arg (CCT) (tRNA-Arg-CCT-1-1)". It matches the Rfam family "tRNA". From Rfam's summary of the family: Transfer RNA (tRNA) molecules are approximately 80 nucleotides in length. Their secondary structure includes four short double-helical elements and three loops (D, anti-codon, and T loops). Further hydrogen bonds mediate the characteristic L-shaped molecular structure. tRNAs have two regions of fundamental functional importance: the anti-codon, which is responsible for specific mRNA codon recognition, and the 3' end, to which the tRNAs corresponding amino acid is attached (by aminoacyl-tRNA synthetases). tRNAs cope with the degeneracy of the genetic code in two manners: having more than one tRNA (with a specific anti-codon) for a particular amino acid; and 'wobble' base-pairing, i.e. permitting non-standard base-pairing at the 3rd anti-codon position. RNAcentral also lists the same sequence under 4 other names. The record is from Rfam by way of RNAcentral. Lineage: Bacteria; Pseudomonadati; Planctomycetota; Planctomycetia; Isosphaerales; Isosphaeraceae.
GCGCUCGUAGCUCAGGAGGAUAGAGCGGCGGUUUCCUAAACCGCAGGUCGCAGGUUCGAAUCCUGCCGGGCGCA